Molecule: long non-coding RNA, 405 nt
Filed under: Callithrix jacchus (white-tufted-ear marmoset)
Lineage: Eukaryota; Metazoa; Chordata; Mammalia; Primates; Cebidae
Description: lncRNA (ENSCJAG00000074484.1)
Source: RNAcentral
AUGUCUCUGGUCUCUUCCUUGUGCAUCAGGAAUCACUUUGGACUGGCCCAAGAGUGGGGCUGUGGGCACGCAGAGCACACCAGAUUUCUGAAUGAUUAUGGCCAUGCAUCAUUGUGUAGGGACUUUAAGAAGCUGCUGAAGAACAAAAAUGAAGGUGGGAGCUGUUGGUGUCGAGUGACUCAUAGCACCAUCCUUCAGGGACGGUGUGGUUGGCCAGAGUAUGGUCAGGGAGAGCCAAGAGAAGAAGUGCUUCUGAGUAUGACCCAGCAGGGUGGAAAGAAGGAGUCUCCCAAGUGCACAUUUGUUGGAGGAAGCUUUUGUGGGCUCCUGACAUUCCAUUAUUCUAGAACUACAAGGAGACACCCUCCAGAGAAAGCAGCAACAAGGCACCAUCUUGGAAGCUGA